This is a long non-coding RNA of Equus quagga, 1260 nucleotides long. RefSeq lists it as uncharacterized. NCBI's taxonomy places the organism in Eukaryota, Metazoa, Chordata, Mammalia, Perissodactyla, Equidae. The record is from RefSeq and is a predicted model, not a curated record. The transcript has 2 exons.
GAACCAAAGGUCUCUAGAACUUGCUUUAGUGAACAAACAGCUACCCGAGGGACUGGGGGGGAGUGGUUGUUAUGCUCACUUCACUGGAUAAUUAGGCAGCAGUUGGUUCCUGUGUUUCUCCUCUGAGGCCACUGAGAGGAGGACUUCCCCCGGCCACUGUCACAUCAGCAAGGGAGCUAAGUCUUUGUUGCUGCUCACUCUUUUCUUUUUCUUUUGAAGGAACAACAGCCACAGUUACAAUGUUAUCUUGGCUGGCCACCAUGUGGGCACCGUGAAUCUUAACAAUCUUUAAUAUUUACCAAGAAUGGGGGUCGAUGUGGUGUCACACAGUUCAUUUGUUCCUUAAAAUCUCCUGCACAGAGACCUUCUCAGAUGUUAGCCAUUGUUAAGAGGCCCAGUCAUGUUGAUGCCUUCUUUAAAUAUUUUGUGCACUUAGAGAUUGUAGUCAAAUGAAAUCUCUGAUUGUGCGAUAGAUGAUGUGUUUGAGUCUCCAAGCUUCGUUUACGCCUUUUAUCACUCAUAACAGAGUCUCACCUUUUAAUAAUGUCCCCGCCCCACAGGGUAGCUGCUUUCACUUUAAAAAAAAAAUACGUUCUGAGAAAUUGUUCUGAGUCAUUUUGUAAUUUCCUCUCUAGUCUCCACUCUGAGUAGACUUAGGUGCCACUCUCUGUGCCGGGCUGGGCGAUGAAGGGAAGAGAAUCAUGGGGAAAUUUCCUAGGAACGCUGCCCACGAGCACACCUUAUAGUGUUUUCACAUCUCAAAUACCAGCUUCUACUUGCUGAGAGCCAAGAUUGGAUUACUGGUUUUGUAAAUCGGUCUCCUGCUGUUCUUCAUAAUAGCACGAAGAACAGGGCAACAAAAAAUAUAUUUUUUACUAAUAUGGGAAACGGGAGAAAAUUGAAGGUGAGGCAACCAGGAACCCACAUGGAUUACAAAAAGAAACAAAAUAUACUUCUUAGGGAACCAGAGAAGAGGAGAGAGGAUGCAGCUGGGGUACAGUCUGGCUGGAGGUAGUUGGGCAGAGCUGUGCUGAGCAAGGCUGGACACGGCCUGAACUCUUCCACCUGAGCAUGAGGGAGUCCUCCCCGGGGACUCACCUGGACGUCCGCAGUCUCCUAGAUACAGUAGACACUUCGCCUACCCACAAAGUUCUGGCUAACAACGAUUUGUCAAAGCUCUAGUCUGUCAAGAAUUUGAUUACAAUCGAUGUUAUUAUUGAUGUAUUUUCUCUUCAAAUAAAGUGACAAAGAUAGAAAAAA